UACAGAGGGGGCAAGCGUUGUUCGGAAUUACUGGGCGUAAAGGGCGCGUAGGCGGCCACCGCAAGUCGAUUGUGAAAUCUCCGGGCUUAACCCGGAAAGGUCAACCGAUACUGCGGGGCUAGAGUGCGGAAGGGGCAACUGGAAUUCUUGGUGUAGCGGUGAAAUGCGUAGAUAUCAAGAGGAACACCUGCGGCGAAGGCGGGUUGCUGGGCCGACACUGACGCUGAUGCGCGAAAGCUAGGGGAGCGAACGGG
Molecule: ribosomal RNA, 254 nt
Filed under: uncultured bacterium
Lineage: Bacteria
Description: partial 16S ribosomal RNA
Rfam family: Bacterial small subunit ribosomal RNA
Source: RNAcentral